Molecule: long non-coding RNA, 413 nt
Organism: Gorilla gorilla gorilla (western lowland gorilla)
Lineage: Eukaryota; Metazoa; Chordata; Mammalia; Primates; Hominidae
Exons: 3
Source: RefSeq, a predicted model, not a curated record
GCUAAAGUGAAGACUUCAUUCUUGCUAGAGAUUGAUAGAGAAAAGUGAGUCCCUGGGCACAGCCUGUCUUGCAGACAGCAGAAAGCUACUUUGGAACGUCCCUCUGGAGCGAGCAUUUAUUGAGUUCUUACUGGGGGCAAAGUGCCAGGUCAGGCCUUGGUCAAGUUCCUCCCUGCAGCAGAUGGUAUGGUGGAUGAAGUUUUGUGUUUGCUGUACUGACCUGAAGUGACGAACAACCACAUACAUCUUUGUCUUCACUCUGUCCAGCUGUCAACUGCAUUGUUCCCUCACGUCUUCCUGCAAAGUACCAUUAUUUCCACACCUUAAGAAUGAAAGAGUGAAGAGAAAACGACAAAAUGUUCUUGUUUAUCAGGAGAUGGGGGUGAGCUGAGCUUUCCACAAGGUCCUGAAUG